GUCUCCUCUGUCUGUCUGUCUGUCCGGAUGCUGUGCAGGAGGAUGGCUAAUCUCCGGUGCGUUUCGAU
RNAcentral lists this microRNA precursor (68 nucleotides) under Trichophyton rubrum BMU01672. The record is from RNAcentral. Lineage: Eukaryota; Fungi; Ascomycota; Eurotiomycetes; Onygenales; Arthrodermataceae.